AAUUAAAAAUUUGCAUUCCAACUGAACCGAAAACUUCGGGGAGCGAAAUGGAGGCUAGUUUCGUCGCCGGCGAUCGGCCGACGGUGUUAGUGACGAACGACGAUGGAAUCGAUGCGCCGGGAUUGAGAGCUCUAGUUAGUCUGCUUGUUUCCACCAAUCGCUUUUACGUCCUCGUUUGUGCUCCUGACUCUGAAAAGUCAGCUGUUAGUCAUAGCAUUACUUGGCGUAAUGCCCUUUCUGUUAAGCAAGUUGACAUCAGCGGAGCAACAGCGUUUGCAGUUUCAGGAACUCCAGCAGACUGUACUUCCCUGGGAAUCUCUAAAGCUCUUUUCCCUUCAGUACCUGAUCUGGUUAUCAGUGGUGUUAAUAUGGGUGACAACUGCGGCUAUCACAUAGUAUACUCGGGUACAGUGGCUGGCGCUAGGGAGGCUUUUUUCUGUGGUAUUCCUGCUGUGUCUGUAUCAUAUAAUUGGAUUCGUGGAAAAAGCAAUGUUAAUGACUUCACACUGGCUGCUAAAGCUUGCUUACCCAUCAUCAGCGCUAUAUUGGCUGCAAUCAAGACAAAUCACUAUCCCAAGAAUUGCUUUCUCAAUAUUGAUGUGCCAACAGAUGUUGUCAAUCACAAGGGAUACCGUCUAACCCGACAAGGAAAAAGUUUUGUGAAAAUGGGAUGGAGGCAAGUUACUUCUGAAAGAGAAGGAGGAAACGUUUUGUCCACAAUGACUAUGGAGACGAAUUCAUCAGAAAGUACACAUGCUAGAGCCUUAAAAAAUGCACCAUUGGAUCAUCUACUGUUUAAGAGACGAGUAUGAUCCCUUUCACUAUAGGUUACAAGAAUUCUAGUGGGGAAUGGUGAUACAGACUACUGUUCUCUUCAAGAAGGAUACAUUACUGUCACACCCCUUGGCGGCUUGUCUCCAGCAGAGCUAGAUGCUGUUUCAUUCUUUCAGAAUUGGCUGCCCAGUGUUGUUAAUCAUUACCCUUCCUCUGCUUUGUAGUGCU
Molecule: RNA transcript, 1002 nt
Organism: Solanum verrucosum
Lineage: Eukaryota; Viridiplantae; Streptophyta; Magnoliopsida; Solanales; Solanaceae
Exons: 9
Source: RefSeq, a predicted model, not a curated record